Molecule: ribosomal RNA, 252 nt
Filed under: uncultured bacterium
Lineage: Bacteria
Description: partial 16S ribosomal RNA
Rfam family: Bacterial small subunit ribosomal RNA
Source: RNAcentral
ACGAACCGCCCAAACGUUAUUCGGAAUCACUGGGCUUAAAGGGUGCGUAGGCGGCGCGACAAGUUGGGUGUGAAAUCCCUCGGCUCAACCGAGGAACUGCGCCCAAAACUGUCGUGCUCGAGGGAGAUAGAGGUAAGCGGAACUGAUGGUGGAGCGGUGAAAUGCGUUGAUAUCAUCAGGAACACCGGUGGCGAAAGCGGCUUACUGGAUCUCUUCUGACGCUGAGGCACGAAAGCUAGGGGAGCGAACGGG